GGCCAGUGUCGCCCAAGAGCGUUAGGAUAUACUCGCUAUUGCACUUUAUAAUGCCAGCGUCGUCGCGAGCCUUUGCACCGUCGUCCUUCGACGAGCCCAGUAGCAGUCAUCUCGGCGCCUUCGCGCCCUCUCGUGUGGCGGCAGCACGCAUCAUACAGGCGUGGGUGCGCAGACGACGAGAGCAGCAAUACGCGCAUCGCCUGCUCAUGUGUCUCCACGUGAUGAAGGUUGCCCGCACCCCCGACGAGCCACAUUGCGAGGAUAGCGUGAACCCGUCCGCCUCCACCACCUUGCCGUCAGCGACGACCUCGUCGUCUUGCCCCGUCGAGCAUGGUGUUCCAGAUGAGGAAAGUCGCUUCACAAGACUGUACGAGGCUGUUGUGGAGUACGAGUCUGCACUGCGAGUGGAGAACUACACGCGGCGACGCCUUUUAGAUGAGUGUUGCGCCACCAGCGGUGCGGCUCGGCGGGCUUCGCAAAGAACGUGUCGCAUGCUGCGACAGCGACAUCCGGCUCUGCGCUCGUUGUCGCCGAGCAUCGAAGGCAUGCGCUCUGCCGGGGCCGACCGCACUCUGGCCGCUCGGCUCCUCGCGGACUCGGCAAUGCCAGCGGCAGAGAGGCUAAAGGCCUAUCUCAGUCCGGCGCUCUUCGCGUGGUGGUGUGCGUCACAGGGGCCGUCCACCUCCAGUGCGCAGGUAACAGCAGCGGCACCCCUACCCACCAGCGCCGUGGCGAGCGAUGUGAGACCGCAGCCCCCGCCUCCCCUGCACACAGAUGAGAGCGUCGCAGAAGUGGAUGAGGGUGCGCAUGGCGAAGGGCUGGAGGCUCUGUACAUGGACGUGAUUGGCCAGGAAGGGCCGGCGAAUAAUCGCGAGGCCGCUGUGAACGCCUCGUACACCAGAGAGCGAGAGGCUGCGGACAGGGCUGCACUUCUCAGGGCGCAGCAGGCCACCAUGGCAGGACGCCCCUGCGGCUUCGCGGCGCAUGGCGGCGCUCCGUCGACAGAUGUGUUACUGGGCAACGCGUCUUCGUUGCCGCCGGAGGAAGAUGACAUCAGUCUUGUGCUGCAGCCUGUCCUCGGCGGUGUUGCGCCGAGGCGAGGUCGCGGCAUUCUGGAGCACCUGGAGUCGGAGCCGUCGGUGACGACGAGCUCCGCCACGGUCGAUGAGUCAUGUCUGCAAGUUGGAAGGGAGACGGCAACACGCACGUGUGCCGUGUGCGAGCUGAGCGGCGUCUUCGCAGGCCCGCACAGCAGGUGUAUCAACGCGGUGGAACUGCAGGAAGAAGACGAACUGCACCCCUGUGGCACAUGCGGCGCACUGGUGCACAGCUACUGCGCCUGCUCAGGUACCACUGCCGACACCCACUACUGCUGCAGCCACUGCUGCCAGGGCGGUGACACGGUGUGAGCAUAUCCGCUCAAUGCCGCGUGGAAGCGAAUAGAGAGAUCGGGGGAGCGAAGAGACGCAGUGCGGCACGGGUUGUAGACUCUCCGCUGUGUGUGCGCCUUCCCUUUCGACCCGCACUCAAUACUUGUGGGAGGCUCGAUGUACAUUAUAAAGCGCUGGACGAAGGGGGGUGGAGAGGCAGGAAAAUGCCGUGUGAAGAGAUGAGGCACGCGGCGCGACGCACAGUGUGCAACCGCUCCUCGGUGCAUGAAAAGACACAGCAACGACGAAGACGACGGGUUGGACGUCUCUGCACGCGCGUGCGGCACUACUCCCUCCGCACCCCCCCCCUCUCUCUGUUGCCCGGCGUCGGCUGAGCCGCUGCCGUUGAUGUACAUGGUACCUUGCCCCUCUCGUGUCAGUCACUCUUCUCCGCACCCUUUUCCUUCCCCAUUCGGCUCACACGCCGUACCUCCGCCGGCAG
This 1872-nucleotide unclassified non-coding RNA is filed under the name Leishmania donovani. RNAcentral's name for it is "gene:LdHU3.12.0250(CDS-product:hypothetical_prote in_conserved)". The record is from RNAcentral. Lineage: Eukaryota; Euglenozoa; Kinetoplastea; Trypanosomatida; Trypanosomatidae.